ACAAAAAUAAAAUACAUUUACCUUAUGGUUUGUCCUAUUUGCUCUUCUAUAUUUGGGGCCGGUCCUCUUUAACAUCUUCAUCAAUGAUCUGGAUGAUGGCAUUGAGUGCACCCUCAGUAAGUUUGCAGAUGACACCAAGCUAGGUGCGUGUGUCGAUCUGCUCGAGGGUAGGAAGGCUCUGCAGGAGGAUCUGGAUAGGCUGCACCGAUGGGCUGAGGUCAACUGCAUGAAGUUCAACAAGGCCAAGUGCCGGGUCCUGCACCUGGGGCGCAAUAACCCCAAGCAGAGCUACAGGCUGGGAGAGGAAUGGUUGGAGAGCUGCCAGGCAGAGAAGGACCUGGGAGUGAUGGUGGACAGUCAGCUGAAUAUGAGCCAGCAGUGUGCUCAGGUGGCCAAGAAGGCCAACGGCAUCCUGGCUUGUAUCAGAAACACUGUGACCAGCAGGGCUAGGGAGGUGAUCGUCCCCCUGUACUCGGCUCUGGUGAGGCCACACCUCGAGUACUGUGUUCAGUUUUGGGCCCCUCGCUACAAGAAGGACAUCGAGGUGCUUGAGCGGGUCCAAAGAAGGGCGACGAAGCUGGUGAGGGGCCUGGAGAGCAAGUCCUAUGAGGAGCGGCUGAAGGAGCUGGGCUUGUUCAGCCUAGAGAAGAGGAGGCUCAGGGGUGACCUUAUUGCUCUGUAUAAGUACAUUAAAGGAGGCUGUAGAGAGGUGGGGGUUGGCCUGUUCUCCCAUGUGCCUGGUGACAGGACGAGGGGGAAUGGGCUAAAGUUACGCCAGGGGAGUUUUAGGUUAGAUGUUAGGAAGAAUUUCUUUACUGAAAGGGUUGUGAGGCACUGGAACGGGCUGCCCAGGGAGGUGGUGGAGUCACCAUCCCUGGAAGUCUUCAAAAGACGUUUAGAUGUAGAGCUUAGGGAUAUGGUUUAGUGGGGACUGUUAGUGUUAGGUUAGAGGUUGGACUCGAUGAUCUUGAGGUCUCUUCCAACCUAGAAAUUCUGUGAUUCUGUGAUUCUGUGAUUUCCAGAAGAAAAUUUUCAGAUAAU
RNAcentral lists this long non-coding RNA (1041 nucleotides) under Anas platyrhynchos platyrhynchos (common mallard). RNAcentral's name for it is "lncRNA (ENSAPLG00000021434.1)". The record is from RNAcentral. Lineage: Eukaryota; Metazoa; Chordata; Aves; Anseriformes; Anatidae.